This is a non-coding RNA of Brassica rapa (field mustard), 272 nucleotides long. NCBI's taxonomy places the organism in Eukaryota, Viridiplantae, Streptophyta, Magnoliopsida, Brassicales, Brassicaceae. The record is from Rfam.
GUGGUGGUCUCCAGCCAAGUUCUGAGUACAAAAAGCUAACUCUCUCAUUCAUUUAUUUACAGGAAAUCAGAUGCCAAUAAACCCACACCUAAGUGUUUAAUUCAAAUCACACCCAAAAUACUACGGUUAUAAAACAAGAAGAUUCUUACAGAAUUUCAAUUUAUUUUAUAAAACUAGAGAAGCCUCCUCCUGAAGUUUCUGGUAGUUGAUUGAUAAGUACGUACGAGAAGACCGACACCAAUCCCAAUACCAACACAUGCACCAAGUCCAAU